AGAGUUUGAUCAUGGCUCAGAUUGAACGCUGGCGGCAUGCCUUACACAUGCAAGUCGAGCGGCAGCGCGGGGGCAACCCUGGCGGCGAGCGGCGGACGGGUGAGUAAUACAUCGGAACGUGUCCUUUCGUGGGGGGAUAACCAGUCGAAAGACUGGCUAAUACCGCAUGAGAUCUCACGAUGAAAGCGGGGGACCGCAAGGCCUCGCGCGAUUGGAGCGGCCGAUGUCGGAUUAGCUAGUUGGCGGGGUAAUGGCCCACCAAGGCGACGAUCCGUAGCUGGUUUGAGAGAACGACCAGCCACACUGGGACUGAGACACGGCCCAGACUCCUACGGGAGGCAGCAGUGGGGAAUUUUGGACAAUGGGCGCAAGCCUGAUCCAGCCAUGCCGCGUGUGUGAAGAAGGCCUUCGGGUUGUAAAGCACUUUCGGCCGGAACGAAAUCGCGCGGAUUAAUAACCCGCGUGGAUGACGGUACCGGAAGAAGAAGCACCGGCUAACUACGUGCCAGCAGCCGCGGUAAUACGUAGGGUGCGAGCGUUAAUCGGAAUUACUGGGCGUAAAGGGUGCGCAGGCGGCGUCGCAAGUCAGGCGUGAAAUCCCCGGGCUUAACCUGGGAAUGGCGCUUGAAACUACGAUGCUGGAGUAUGGCAGAGGGAGGUGGAAUUCCACGUGUAGCGGUGAAAUGCGUAGAGAUGUGGAGGAACACCGAUGGCGAAGGCAGCCUCCUGGGCCAAUACUGACGCUCAUGCACGAAAGCGUGGGGAGCAAACAGGAUUAGAUACCCUAGUAGUCC
RNAcentral lists this ribosomal RNA (794 nucleotides) under uncultured bacterium. RNAcentral describes it as "bacterial SSU rRNA". It matches the Rfam family "Bacterial small subunit ribosomal RNA", at positions 8 to 796 of the family's 1533-position model. The record is from RNAcentral.